UUACGCAGAUAAAACUUAUAAAUGCAACUCAAAAAUUUCUAUUCGAAGCGUUUUAUAAAAAAAACUAAAAUGUUACUUCUGAUGAACGCUUUGGAAGAAACUUAUUAAGGAUGUUUGCCUACAUAAACUUUUUAUGAAUCUUACAGUACGUAAUACCUACCAGAUCGAUAAGUCCCAGCAGCCUGAUGCCAAGGGAAAGGUCAACCGGAUGCGUAUCGUUUAUUUGGGGCACAACCCGCUUUUCGUAGCUGCCUAGCAACGAGGUCAGUAAGGCUUCAUGCGUAUCAGCCACUGUGGUGCGACCUGAAUAGAAGAUACAAUAAACGGUUGUGACUGAAGGCCUUGUUUUGAGGGUGUCUUGCAGACCAGUGGUUGUCGGCCUGGGGAUUUUCAAGGAAAACUGUAGACUGCCCCCUAAUGUCCAAUGACACUCUUAUACAAUAAAAGCAGAAUGAUCUCGAAUGAUCUGCUAUUUGACUGUCACACGGCAAUAAAUGUCGACUUUUA
Molecule: long non-coding RNA, 507 nt
Organism: Dreissena polymorpha
Lineage: Eukaryota; Metazoa; Mollusca; Bivalvia; Myida; Dreissenidae
Exons: 2
Source: RefSeq, a predicted model, not a curated record